Molecule: ribosomal RNA, 416 nt
Filed under: uncultured bacterium
Lineage: Bacteria
Description: bacterial SSU rRNA
Rfam family: Bacterial small subunit ribosomal RNA
Source: RNAcentral
UACGGGAGGCAGCAGUGGGGAAUAUUGCACAAUGGGCGCAAGCCUGAUGCAGCCAUGCCGCGUGUAUGAAGAAGGCCUUCGGGUUGUAAAGUACUUUCAGUCGUGAGGAAGGUGUUAAGGUUAAUAACCUUAGCAAUUGACGUUAGCGACAGAAGAAGCACCGGCUAACUCCGUGCCAGCAGCCGCGGUAAUACGGAGGGUGCGAGCGUUAAUCGGAAUUACUGGGCUAAAGGGCACGCAGGCGGUUAAUUAAGUUGGAUGUGAAAUCCCCGGGCUUAACCUGGGAAUGGCAUUCAAGACUGGUUAGCUAGAGUCUUGUAGAGGGGGUUAGAAUUCCAUGUGUAGCGGUGAAAUGCGUAGAGAUGUGGAGGAAUACCGGUGGCGAAGGCGGCCCCUGGGACAAGGACUGACGCUCA